UCACAUCAGUAUAGGAAGAAGACAUCUUGAUUUUUUGAAAAUGAAGAUGAAGGGAAUUAAUGAUACUGAAUAUGAGUGCCAUAGAGAAAACAAGAAAAAAGGAUGAGGAUUUUUUAUUUUAUUUUUUUUUUUGGAAAAAGAGGUAUGAAAACCUCAGUACAUCAUAUUACGAAUUGUCAUUACAUCUUGAUCCCCGAUUUGGAUGUUCAGAAAGUUUAAUAAAUCCCAUAAUCUAUCUUCCGUCCAGAUAUGCUUAACAUUAAAAUUAUUACAGAAUAAAGAGAGUUUUACUUCUCAUAUGAUGUCUAUUUUUUUCACUAAAAUAAAAUCAUGGGCUCUAAAGUUAAUUUCAAACUUUUUAGUAUUUCCAAAAUCUUCGCUGAUCAUGUAUCUUUUUCUACGACCUUCGUCAUACAAUCCCACCAGCAACACUAGAAUCGGCUCUGAAUCGCUACUAAAGGAGAUCAUGUGGCCACUCCAAUCGGUUGCCAAUGGAAAGCUGGUUCCGCUCCUUCCUUUUCUAGCUCCUCUAAGGUUGUGAUGUCAGUGGUCACUAACUCUAUUAAGACCCACAAUGUCAGUAAGGUUUCUACACAGUGGUGGUUGAAUCCAUGGGAUCCAACAAUCCUGCCAAAUAUCAGAGACGUCAUUUUUUUUGUGCAA
Long non-coding RNA from Papaver somniferum (opium poppy), 663 nucleotides. RefSeq lists it as uncharacterized. The record is from RefSeq and is a predicted model, not a curated record. The transcript is spliced from 2 exons. Lineage: Eukaryota; Viridiplantae; Streptophyta; Magnoliopsida; Ranunculales; Papaveraceae.